CAGUCGCCACGGGAAUACGUAGGGUGCAAGCGUUAAUCGGAAUUACUGGGCGUAAAGCGUGCGCAGGCGGUCCGCUAAGACAGAUGUGAAAUCCCCGGGCUUAACCUGGGAACUGCAUUUGUGACUGGCGGGCUAGAGUAUGGCAGAGGGGGGUAGAAUUCCGCGUGUAGCAGUGAAAUGCGUAGAGAUGUGGAGGAAUACCGAUGGCGAAGGCAGCCCCCUGGGCCAAUACUGACGCUCAUGCACGAAAGCGUGGGGAGCAAACAGGAUUAGAUACCCCUGUAGUCCCUGUCUCUUAUAA
Molecule: ribosomal RNA, 301 nt
Filed under: uncultured bacterium
Lineage: Bacteria
Description: partial 16S ribosomal RNA
Rfam family: Bacterial small subunit ribosomal RNA
Source: RNAcentral